This 281-nucleotide ribosomal RNA is filed under the name uncultured bacterium. RNAcentral's name for it is "partial 16S ribosomal RNA". It matches the Rfam family "Bacterial small subunit ribosomal RNA", at positions 505 to 784 of the family's 1533-position model. The record is from RNAcentral.
GUGCCAGCCGCCGCGGUAAUACGUAGGGGGCGAGCGUUGUCCGGAUUUAUUGGGCGUAAAGAGCUCGUAGGCGGCUCAACAAGUCGGUCGUGAAGGUUCAGGGCUCAACCCUGAAAUGUCGAUCGAUACUGUUGUGACUAGGAUACGGUAGAGGUGAGUGGAAUUCCCGGUGUAGCGGUGAAAUGCGUAGAUAUUAGAAAGAACACCGGUGGCGAAAGCGCUCUACUGGACCAUUACUGACACUCAGAGGCGAAAGCUAGGGUAGCAAAAGGGAUUAGAUA